Molecule: transfer RNA, 71 nt
Filed under: Bos taurus (domestic cattle)
Lineage: Eukaryota; Metazoa; Chordata; Mammalia; Artiodactyla; Bovidae
Also listed under: 2 other names
Rfam family: tRNA
About the family: Transfer RNA (tRNA) molecules are approximately 80 nucleotides in length. Their secondary structure includes four short double-helical elements and three loops (D, anti-codon, and T loops). Further hydrogen bonds mediate the characteristic L-shaped molecular structure. tRNAs have two regions of fundamental functional importance: the anti-codon, which is responsible for specific mRNA codon recognition, and the 3' end, to which the tRNAs corresponding amino acid is attached (by aminoacyl-tRNA synthetases). tRNAs cope with the degeneracy of the genetic code in two manners: having more than one tRNA (with a specific anti-codon) for a particular amino acid; and 'wobble' base-pairing, i.e. permitting non-standard base-pairing at the 3rd anti-codon position.
Source: Rfam by way of RNAcentral
UCCUUGUUAGUAUAGUGGUGAGUCUCCCUGCCUGUCACGCAGGAGACUGGGUUCAAUUCCCCAACAGGGAG